RNAcentral lists this ribosomal RNA (217 nucleotides) under Acartia tonsa. Its description in RNAcentral is "partial large subunit ribosomal RNA". Lineage: Eukaryota; Metazoa; Arthropoda; Copepoda; Calanoida; Acartiidae. The record is from RNAcentral.
UCCGGUUUGAACUCAGAUCAUGUGCGGGGUAGAGGUCGAACAGACCUUGUGAAAAUAGCUUCUGCACUAUUUGUAGCCGCAAUUCAACAUCGAGGUCGCAAACAAUUAUUUUAAUAAGGGCUUAAAUAAUUAUAACGCUGUUAUCCCUAGAGUACCUUAUUCGUCUAAUUUAAUAAAGAUCAUUGUUAAUAUAAAUAGUCCUAUUUAAAUUUACCCC